UUUUUUUUUUUUUUUUUUGAGACGGAGUUUCACUCUUGUUGCUCAGGCUGGAGUGCAAUGGCGUGAUAUCGGCUCACUGCAACCUCUGUCUUCUGUGUUCAAGCAAUUCUUCUGCCUCAGCCUCCCGAGUAGCGGGGAUUACAGGCACGCACCACAACGCCCAGCUAAUUUUUGUACUUUUAGUAGAGAUGGGGCUUCGUCAUGUUGGUCAGGCUGGUCUUGAACUCCUGACCUCAAGUGAUCCACCUGCCUCAGCCUCCCAAAGUGCUGGGAUUGCAGGCGUGAGCCACUGCGCCCGGCCGAGACUUUAUUUUUUGAAUGUUUUAUACUUGUUCUCAAGUAGUGCCUGACUCAGGCAGAGGCUUUUGUCACCAGUCAUAAAGUGAUGAGAACCCUUUAGGUUGAGAAUACUAUAACUGGCACUCGGGGAAUCAAAUAGCUUUAAUGAGAUAUGUGCUUUGCUUGCUAGGUUUUUUCAAAUGCUACUUAAUUUAUUAUUUAAUAGAGACUCUGAAGAUCUAUAGGUCCGUAAUCUAAAGAGUGAUUAUUAAGACACGUAAUGUCCAUUUCUUUCUUUAUAACCACCAUAGCAGGAAAUUCUUUGAUCUUAAUUUUAACCACAAAUUCUCUGGAAAUACAAAUCAUGCUGGUCUCUGGUAAUAUUUUAAGAUGUUUAUGUAUGUAUUUCCCUAUUUAAGAUGAGGAUAUAUCAGAGUCACUUCAGCCUAUAAGUUCAUCCAGCUCUCACUGAGAAUAAUGUUCAUGUUUUUCCUCAAUCUUUUCUCCACAAUAUCAGUUCCCCAGGUGCUCCCCUGUUGUUUCUCUCAUUCUCUAAGUGUUUUCAUUUGCUCCUUGAUCUUCAGUAAUCUCCUUCCAUUAGUUACACCAGCACAUCCAAACCUAUGCCUCAGGCUGUGGCAUUUUACCUUCAAUUCAGUCUUGAUUUCCCAAUUGACUAAAGACCUGAAGAACCGAGUGUUUUGCUGGUACCACAAACACUUGUAAAAAUGAAUUCUCCACCACCUGGCAUUAAACCAGUGUCUCCUUCAGAUUCAUCUCUUCCUGCUAAAUGAUGCUCCAUUGGUCCAGACACUCAGAUACCCAAGCUCUUGUCUUUUGGACUCCUCUCUCAACAUCUAUACUCAGAAAAUAUCUAUACACAGUUUGAUUGUAUUUUGUUUUCCCACAAUGUAUUUUACUUUAAUAUUUUCAUUGCUGUGUACUCAGUAUCAUCAAGUGAUAUACAUUAAUUAAUCCAGGCAUUAAGUAAGAGGCUUAAUUAUAUCAGCACUUGGCAAUCCAUCCACAUCCCAACCAUCUUAAUGGCUACAAGACAAGUUUGCCAAAAUUCUACUUUAACAGGUUAUUUUCCUACCCCCAAACACCAAAUAGUUCCAUUCAUAUAAAGUCUAGAAAGUCAAAGUUCUGACAACUUUACUCAAGGCUCAAGGAAGGUUGACCCGUACUUUUUCAAGGCUUGUAUCUUGCUACUUCCUUAUAUGCACCCCAUACCCCAGCAAAACUUUUGCUUUCAAAUACCCAGCAUGGCAUAUUUUCAGCUGCCAUACCUUUGUCUAUAUUCUGUCCAUCUACAAUUGUUGUCCAACUUAGUCACCUAACGAAAUCUAAUCUUUCCCUUUAGAAUGUGUGCUCCACUUUGAUGUACAUUAGAAUAAACUAAAAUGAUUGUUUAAAAUUCAGAUUUUCUUACCCAAUCUCAGAAUUUUGAUUGAAGAAGUUAGAGGAAGGACCCAAGAGUCUACAUUUUUAACAAAUCCAUUUGAGCGAUUCUCAUACAGAUGGUCAUGGGACCAAAAACAUUUGAAAAACAUUGUAAGGACCAAAAAUAUGGACUGUAUAAAGUUUUCUUAGAUGUUACUGGUUAAAAACGAUUUCUUUUUUUAGGAA
Macaca fascicularis (crab-eating macaque) is the source of this 1908-nucleotide long non-coding RNA. Lineage: Eukaryota; Metazoa; Chordata; Mammalia; Primates; Cercopithecidae. The record is from Ensembl.